This 2872-nucleotide ribosomal RNA is filed under the name Amphimedon queenslandica. RNAcentral's name for it is "l-rRNA". It matches the Rfam family "Bacterial large subunit ribosomal RNA". The record is from RNAcentral. Lineage: Eukaryota; Metazoa; Porifera; Demospongiae; Haplosclerida; Niphatidae.
CCAAAUUAGUGAAAAAGUGCAAUAGAGGGAUGGCUAGGGCAUUAAGCAAGGGGACAAAUCAAGGGGGUUAGGAGGUAAGUAGACUAAUCCCAGCUGGUAAAAGCCGGCUCGUUCGGGUUGAAAUAUAAACGGGCGAGGGGACCCGAGCUUCUGGGAAUUGAAACAUCUUAGUACCAGAAGGGAUAAAUCAAGCGAGAUGCCGUGAGUAGUGGCGAGCGAAAGCGGAGCAAGGUGGAAAAGUAAGUUAAACCGCAGAGGGUAACAGGCCCGUGAUUUACUUAGUAACCUACGUUUAGUCAUUAGACCCGCAUAUGCGGGAAGUAGAAUAAUUUGAAGAAGGGUGAACCACACAUCCAACAUCGCGAAAAGUAAUGCACCGAGAGAGGGAGUACCGUGAGGGAAGGCUGAAAGAAUGGUGAAAACGGAAAUUUAUUGCACAUUAGAGCAGAUGUAGUCAUUGUACCUUUUGUAUAAUGGGUUCGCGAGUAAAAUAUUUGGCAAACUUAAGUCGAUGGACGGAGGUGUAGCGAAAGCGAGCCAGGCGAGGCGCGAGUCAAAUACGACCCGAAACCAAGUGAUCUAAUCAUGGGCAGUCUGAAACUUGUCGCAAGGCAAGACGGAGGGACGCACCGGUGGUUGUGGCAAAAAUCUCGGAAGACCUGUGGUAAGUGGUGAAAGGCCAAUCGAACUUGGCGAUAUCUGGUUUUCGACGAAAGCUAUUUAAGUAGUGUGUUGCUGUAUAAGAUAAAUUACCCCCGCAUGGUAGGGCACUGAUCGGGCCCAGGGCAGAUAUUUGCUUUGUGUUCAGUCAAACCACGAAAGCACCACAAGCGACCAACCACCAACCUGCGGUUGGUGGUAUCUAAGUACUUAUGUGGGCAAAAUGUGCGGGGGGAAAGAGUGACAAUCAGACAGUUGGUGCGAAGGUCGACUGUCGAGAGGGGAACAGCCCAGAUCAGAAGUAAAGGGCACGAAGUAUGGGUUGAGUAUGUAAGGAAGAAGAAGGAGAGACAAUGGGAAAGUAGGCUUGGAACCAGCUAUCUUUGAAAGAUUACGUAGAAGUUCACCUGAAUGACUAACGGACACCGAAAAUAUAGGUGGUUAAACCCAACGGGACACAACCCGCAUUUGUGGGUUGUGUUUCACCCCGAAACUCUGAAGAGGAGAGAAAUCAACCAAGGUAGUCGAACGGACUGUAUUGAUAAUUAUGGCGAGAGCCGGAAUCAGUCGUGAUGAUGCGAAUAUGAGUAACGCUUCAGUGUGUGACGAGGGCAAAUAUGUAAAUAACGAUUUGUUAAAGAAAUCCCACCGCAGUGGGAUUCAAGCCAUUGAACACAGCCCAAGGAUUCCGAUUUGAUGAGAAUCAUAAUCGGGUGGGACGGCCCCUAAGAUAUAAUCGAGGGGUACCUCUGUAAUAAUAACGGGGGCGAACCUGGAGCCACAUAAGAAACAACCAAUCAUCGAUUGGGCGUGGGCCAGGGGGCGACUGUACCAACCUAACACAAGUGGGCAAAAGUGUGGGGGGAAUAUAUUUUAAGGAACUCGGCCAAAUGCUCCAGUAAGUUCGCGAGAAGGGAGAUAGAUACAUUAAGAUAAGAGGGGGCGCCGACUGUUUACCAAAAACUUAGCCAUCAGCAAAGGGCCGAGGGCCUGAAGUAAUGGUGUGUGAUGCCUGCCCAGUGGUUGGAUCGGAACUCGAAUGAUGAAAGUUAUUUGAAUAAGGACAACUCAACGGCCGCGGUAUCUCUGACCGUGAUAAUGUAGCAUAGUAACUAGCCAAUUAAUUGUUGGCACGUAUGAAAGGCUUCACGAGUGUCCCGCUGUCUCGAGAUAUAACCCAGUGAAAUUGAAUUUGUAGUGAAGAUGCUACAUACAAGUUGUAAGACGAGUAGACCCUAUUGAGCUUUACUGGACGUUUGCAUUAAACCGAAACAGGACCGAGCAGCAAAGCCCAAUAUCUGGAGGGAGCGUGGCAUGGGUGCAAGAGUGACAAAAAAAAAUAGGAUACGCACACCGCCUUGGCGGUGUGUAUCGGUUGGAUGAAUAUAUGAAAACCGACCAAUUGCAUUCAAGAGGCACACUCGGGAUGGAGCGGUACAAAGUGUGAGUGAGACAGUUUGACUGGGAGGGUCGCCUUCAAGAGAGUAUCGAAGGUGAGCAGAUGGUGUGGAGGGGGGGCCCAUAAAUAGAAAAAGACCAAUCAAAGAUUGGUUGGGGACAAACUGCGUACAGCGGAAUUUGUAAAAUUCCGGUGCCAAUCGAAGAUGGGCACAUACGACAGGAUGGACUCAGGGGCCCUCGGAGUUAAUAGAAUUGAGCCAGACAGUGAGGAGGACGUACCGAACUGACACCAUAGGAGGUGGGCUAUAGUGACCCGUUGGUACAGAGUGGAUUGGCCAACGAACAACGAAUAAAAGUUACCAUAGGGAUAACAGCGUAAUAUAGUUUUAGAGUUACUAUCGAAGACGAUGUUUGCGACCUCGAUGUUGAAUUGCGGUAACCUGGGGGUACAGCAGCUCCCAAGGGUUGGACUGUUCGUCCAUUAAAACCGUACAUGAUUUGAGUUCAGACCGGCGUGAGCUAGGUCGGUUUCUAUCUACAAUAUGUAAACACAGAGUGUAACCGCGCCCUCGUACAUAAGGAUCGGGUAUAAGCGGCCAUCCAAUGGUGUACCUGUUGGCAGUGGUCAGGGGAGCUUGCAGGGUAGCUACGAUGGGAAGGAUAAUCCCUGAAGGCAACUAAAGGGAAAAGCCAGGCACAAGGGUGUUCCGGCCAUUAUAAGAAUGAUGGUAGCUCCUACGUUUGAGACUAAGACGGCAUCGGGCCUAGGUGAAGCCGAAGGCUGCGAAAUAGGAGGAGACACUAAUUUUGG